This 499-nucleotide ribosomal RNA is filed under the name uncultured bacterium. RNAcentral's name for it is "partial 16S ribosomal RNA". It matches the Rfam family "Bacterial small subunit ribosomal RNA", at positions 28 to 507 of the family's 1533-position model. The record is from RNAcentral.
GACGAACGCUGGCGGCGUGCCUAAUACAUGCAAGUCGAGCGAAGUUUUUCUGGUGCUUGCACCGGAAAAACUUAGCGGCGAACGGGUGAGUAACACGUAAAGAACCUGCCUCAUAGACUGGGACAACUAUUGGAAACGAUAGCUAAUACCGGAUAAUAGCAUUAACUGCAUGGUUGAUGUUUAAAAGUUGGUUUUGCUAACACUAUGAGAUGGCUUUGCGGUGCAUUAGCUAGUUGGUGGGGUAAAGGCCUACCAAGGCGACGAUGCAUAGCUGACCUGAGAGGGUGAUCGGCCACACUGGGACUGAGACACGGCCCAGACUCCUACGGGAGGCAGCAGUAGGGAAUCUUCCGCAAUGGGCGAAAGCCUGACGGAGCAACGCCGCGUGAGUGAAGAAGGAUUUCGGUUCGUAAAGCUCUGUUGUUAGGGAAGAAUGAUUGUGUAGUAACUAUACACAGUAGAGACGGUACCUAACCAGAAAGCCACGGCUAACUACGUG